GAUGAAGAACGUAGCGAAAUGCGAUAAGUAAUGUGAGUUGCAGAAUUCAGUGAAUCAUCGAAUCUUUGAACGCACAUUGCGCCCGCCAGUAUUCUGGCGGGCAUGCCUGUCUGAGCGUCAUUUCAACCCUCAUGCCCCUAGGGCGUGGUGUUGGGGAUCGGCCAAAGCCCGCGAGGGACGGCCGGCCCCUAAAUCUAGUGGCGGACCCGUCGUGGCCUCCUCUGCGAAGUAGUGAUAUUCCGCAUCGGAGAGCGACGAGCCCCUGCCGUUAAACCCCCAACUUUCCAAGGUUGACCUCAGAUCAGGUAGGAAUACCCGCUGAACUUAAGCAUAUCAAUAAGCGGAAGA
This 348-nucleotide unclassified non-coding RNA is filed under the name soil metagenome. Its description in RNAcentral is "partial contains 5.8S ribosomal RNA, internal transcribed spacer 2, and large subunit ribosomal RNA". The stretch from base 1 to 120 matches the Rfam family "5.8S ribosomal RNA", at positions 35 to 154 of the family's 154-position model. The record is from RNAcentral.